CAAUGAGCGGAAGGUGGUGUGCAGAGUGGAUCCUGUGCUCUUCCCAGGAUCGAAGCGGCAGCUGGAAGGCAGAAAGGAUGCCAAUAAGAGCAGUCUGGAAAACUGAGAAUAAGAAGCAACUUUGAAAAGGAAAACAAAUCA
Thamnophis elegans (Western terrestrial garter snake) is the source of this 141-nucleotide long non-coding RNA. RefSeq lists it as uncharacterized. The transcript is spliced from 2 exons. The record is from RefSeq and is a predicted model, not a curated record. Lineage: Eukaryota; Metazoa; Chordata; Lepidosauria; Squamata; Natricidae.